CGUCGCCUCUCUCUCUUCCCCUCUCCCCGAUCCAGAUCGGCGACGAUGGCCCCCCAUCGCCGCCCCCUCCUUCCCCAUCCUGCCGCCGCCUCUCUCUCCCACCCACCCCGAUCCAUCCCCUCCCUUUGACUCUCACAUCACCUCCGCACCCAUCACCUCCCCUGGCGGGAUUCGUCGCUCCCCCUUCCUCCGUCUCGCUCACACCCACAGCCGCCGCCGCCGCCGCAACCCAAACCCUCUCCCUCCCACCCUGAUCCGCUGUCACCCCCACCGUCUACGACCCAGAUCGAGCAAGCGAGGCGGUGCUUCCAGACCCGCGACGGCGGCAGAGGGACGGGGCUGGGGGCGUGUGCCAGAUCUGCGCCGACGGCCUGGGCACCACGCUCGAAGGCAAGGUCUUCAGCGCAACCCCCCAACCCCACCCCACCCCUACCCACCCACCACAGCAACAAGGGCAAGCGUGCGUCAACAUCAGACGACUCGUCCCGGAUUGUGAUUCGCGAAGGCGUUUCUCGGCGGCCAGAUGAGCUCGCGGAUGGCCGGAUCGGUCCUCCUCCGCCGCGCCGGCGCUGGCGCCAACCGCCUCUUCGCCACCACCGCGACGUCCCCGGGGGCCAGGACCUCCCUCACCGGCGGCAAGGGCACGUUGGUGCGGAUGAUGUCCACUUCCGCGGCCUCGCAGGUGGUCAAGGCGGAGGCGGCCAAGGGCGAUGGUUAGAAGAAGGAGGUGGCGAUCAACAGCUACUAGGGGGAUCGAGCAGUCGAAGAAGCUGGUGCGUGAGGAAGACACCGAGUGGAAGUGGUCUUGCUUCAGGGUACGCUCUUCCCUUGCUUCCUCUGCUCUGCUUUUCCCGUUUCGGUUCCGUCGCCGGCGACGGGUCGCCAGAUGGGAGCGCGCGUGCGGUCGAUGUGCGCUGUAAUUUUAUUUACUUGUUGCGCCGCCGUCGUGUGUGAUUCAUUAGUUGGUUUCGCUGCCGCAGCCAUGGGAGACGUACACCGCGGACAUGUCGAUCGAUCUGACCAAGCACCACGUGCCCAACACGAUGCUCGACAAGAUCGCCUACUACACCGUCAAGUCCCUGCGCUUCCCCACCGACAUCUUCUUCCAGGUACGCGCGCUUCCUGGUCUGGCGCCCCUGCUACAUGCACGAGUGCAAGCGUCACGUGGCCGUGAGCAGGCCAGUUCCACGCCAACAAGAUGAACCUGGGCAUUGCAACUACCUAUGUACUCUUCUGUUGAUGAACUUCCUCCACACCUACAGUGACAAGAAAACACUGAAGAAGUGGUUCUUCAUCGACAAGACAGUUGGCUAAGAAAAUCCAGCUGAAAGAGAGACAACCAUCGUACCUGCCUGAGAAAGAUCCUGUCUACAGUGCAUGGAUGGUAAGGUCAUUGUUGUGAAGGCCCCACAGGAAGGCGUGGGGGAUUUGGCACAAGGCCGGCGAUCGAGUCUAUGCUCUCUCCUCCAUGGAAAGACCUAUGUUCAGCUUGCUUGAAUGAACAGUGUGUGUGGAACAGAUUCUUGUCUGAAUUCUCUUCUUGUGGGAUGAACUUGCUUGUAGUAUCUUGGAGUAUCAACUUGGAGCAUCUUGUUAGAGUAGCAUCUUGCAACACAUUCGAUUACUCCGGUACUGAUAUUUACAGUAGCAUCUUGCAAAAUGGAAUAGUUAGAGUAGCAUCUUUGAUUAACUAAAUUGAUGAUUACUGCUGUUAAAUUGGGACUUGCAAGCAGUAGUUCCCUCUUCUUAUCUCUUCUCUCUUGCAGUAGUUGUUGUAGUAGUAGUAGUUUCUUGCAGUAGUUUAGUGUACGAUUUGUCUUUGGUGGAGUAUUUCUUGAACUGUGUUGUAUUUCCUUUGACUAAAUAGUGAAUCUAGUUACAACAAAGCAUGCUAGUACUUGUCUUUGGUGGAGUAGUUUGACAGUGAGGAUCAGUGAUGUCCCCUAUUAAUUUGGUGUAGUUUUGAUAGUUAGAGUAGCAUGUUGGAGUAGGGUAGUCCACAUUUGUCUACAUUAGACCAGAUUAUUCCGAUUAGUCCACAUUUCAUAUUAUUCUUGGAGCACUGUACUAUAGCAGCAGUACUGUACUGUAGCAGCAACAUGAGUAAACUGAAUACUCCUUCAUAUGCUUGGUUCCUUCUUAUUCUUCCUCAGAUUGUGAAAAUGGAUUCCUUCCUUCUUAUGCACUGCACUGUACUGUAGUAUAGGUCAUCUUCGAAUUAAUACUCCAAAAUUUAUCAGUAUUGGAGGAUUUAUUGUUUCCAAAUCAAUACUCCUGGGCAUCAUUCAUGGUUGUCUAGUAGUCGACAUACUUCUGGUUCCAUUUAGUGUAUGCAGGUAGCAGCAGCUUAAGUGUAAUGGAGUUGUUUUGUUACUCUAUGCCUACUUCGUUAGAGUUGGCAUCAUCUCCUUGUCGUUUAUAGCAUAAACGCCUUCACUAUUCUUCCUCUGAACCUCUGAUCCUGAUGCUGAUUGUAUUUGUCUUGAUGGAAUUACAUGCAACAUGGUGACUCUAGUGCAGGCAGCGUUGGCCAUCCUCUUUGAGGCUAUGUUUAGGCGGUGUAGGACGAGCUGCAGCAGGACAACCUGGAGCGGAAGAACUUCGAGGGCAAGAUCAAGGAGAACCAGGAGACAAUCACCGGUUACCUCAUCCUCGUCGGCAUGCUUGGCUUCUUUGGCAGUCCCCUCUUUGGCUCCGACCAACUUACUUCUGUCGCUGGCUAGCAGCAUUUCCAGGUGUUGUGUUCUGGAAGAUGAAAGAGGAAGAAAAUUUAUUUUUGUUGAACUAAAUUUUUUGUAUUCUGUUUUGUUGUACGUAUGAUUUGAUAGUUUUGUAUAGGAACAUGUGAUACUAUUUUGUAGGGCUUUAUGGCCUGUGAU
Triticum aestivum (bread wheat) is the source of this 2879-nucleotide RNA transcript. RefSeq lists it as uncharacterized. NCBI's taxonomy places the organism in Eukaryota, Viridiplantae, Streptophyta, Magnoliopsida, Poales, Poaceae. The transcript is spliced from 5 exons. The record is from RefSeq and is a predicted model, not a curated record.